Molecule: ribosomal RNA, 450 nt
Filed under: uncultured bacterium
Lineage: Bacteria
Description: bacterial SSU rRNA
Rfam family: Bacterial small subunit ribosomal RNA
Source: RNAcentral
AGCGAACGCUGGCGGCAGGCUUAACACAUGCAAGUCGAGCGGGCCCUUCGGGGUCAGCGGCAGACGGGUGAGUAACACGUGGGAACGUACCCUUCGGUUCGGAAUAACUCAGGGAAACUUGAGCUAAUACCGGAUACGCCCUUUGGGGGAAAGGUUUACUGCCGAAGGAUCGGCCCGCGUCUGAUUAGCUAGUUGGUGGGGUAAUGGCCCACCAAGGCGACGAUCAGUAGCUGGUCUGAGAGGANGAUCAGCCACACUGGGACUGAGACACGGCCCAGACUCCUACGGGAGGCAGCAGUGGGGAAUAUUGGACAAUGGGCGCAAGCCUGAUCCAGCCAUGCCGCGUGAGUGAUGAAGGCCUUAGGGUUGUAAAGCUCUUUCGACGGGGACGAUAAUGACGGUACCCGUAGAAGAAGCCCCGGCUAACUUCGUGCCAGCCGCCGCGGUAAC